AGGACGAACGCUGGCGGCGCGCCUAAAACAUGCAAGUCGAACGAGAAACCCGGGCUUGCCCGGGUGGACAGUGGCGAACGGGUGAGUAACACGUGAGGAACCUGCCCCGAAGACCGGGACAACACCGGGAAACCGGUGCUAAUACCGGAUACCUUCACCGGAUCGCAUGGUCUGGUGAAGAAAUGGAUUCCGCUUCGGGAUGGCCUCGCGGCCUAUCAGCUAGUUGGUGAGGUAACGGCUCACCAAGGCGACGACGGGUAGCUGGUCUGAGAGGAUGUCCAGCCACACUGGGACUGAGACACGGCCCAGACUCCUACGGGAGGCAGCAGUUAGGAAUCUUGCGCAAUGGACGAAAGUCUGACGCAGCGACGCCGCGUGCGGGAUGAAGGCCUUCGGGUUGUAAACCGCUUUCAGCAGGGACGAAAUUGACGGUACCUGCAGAAGAAGCCCCGGCAACUACGUGCCAGCAGCCGC
This 474-nucleotide ribosomal RNA is filed under the name uncultured bacterium. Its description in RNAcentral is "SSU rRNA". It matches the Rfam family "Bacterial small subunit ribosomal RNA", at positions 26 to 518 of the family's 1533-position model. The record is from RNAcentral.